CCUGACCUUCGGAUCAGACGUGAAUACCCCGCUGAACUUAAGCAUAUCA
RNAcentral lists this ribosomal RNA (49 nucleotides) under Gastrothylax crumenifer. Its description in RNAcentral is "partial 28S ribosomal RNA". Lineage: Eukaryota; Metazoa; Platyhelminthes; Trematoda; Plagiorchiida; Gastrothylacidae. The record is from RNAcentral.